AGUGAACGCUGGCGGAAGGCUUAACACAUGCAAGUCUUUCGCCAGCCUAGUAAGAGCCAGCUCAUACGGGUGGCGAGGGUCGGUCGGGCGUGGAAAACUUCGGCAUCUACCUUUUCGUGGGGGCUAACGUGGGGGAAAUUACGCUAAUACCGCAUACGACCUCAGGUCGAAACUAGGGAAUCUUCGUACCUCGCGCGAUCCAAUGAGCCGAUGUCGGUUUAGCUAGUUGGAGGGGUAAAGGCCCACCAAGGCGACGAUCCGUAGCUGGUCUGAGAGGAUGAUCAGCCACACUGGAACUGAGACACGGUCCAGACUCCUACGGGAGGCAGCAGUGGGGAAUAUUGGACAAUGGGCGCAAGCCUGAUCCAGCCAUACCGCGUGGGUGAAGAAGGCCUUCGGGUUGUAAAGCCCUUUUGUUGGGAAAGAAAAGCAGCAGGUUAAUACCCCGCUGUUCUGACGGUACCCAAAGAAUAAGCACCGGCUAACUUCGUG
RNAcentral lists this ribosomal RNA (492 nucleotides) under uncultured bacterium. RNAcentral's name for it is "partial 16S ribosomal RNA". It matches the Rfam family "Bacterial small subunit ribosomal RNA", at positions 29 to 507 of the family's 1533-position model. The record is from RNAcentral.